CCUACGGGAGGCAGCAGUAGGGAAUAUUGCUCAAUGGGGGAAACCCUGAAGCAGCCACGCCGCGUGGAGGAUGAAGGCUUUCGGAUUGUAAACUCUUUUUGUUAGAGAAGAUAAUGACGGUAUCGAACGUAUAAGCACCGGCCAACUACGUGCCAGCACCCGCGGUAAUACGGAGGGUGCCAGCGUUACUCGGAAGCACUGGGCGUAAAGAGCGCGUAGGCGGGAUAGAAAGUCAGAUGUGAAAUCCUAUGGGUUAACCAUAGAACUGCAGUUGAAACUGUUAUUCUUGAGUAUGGGAGUGGUAGGCGGAAGUCGUGGUGUAGAGGUGAAAUCCGUAGAGAUCAAGAAGAAUACUCAGUGCGAAGGCGGCCUACUGGAGCAUAACUGACGCUGAUGCGCGAAAGCGUGGGGAGCAAACAGGAUUAGAUACCCUAGUAGUC
Molecule: ribosomal RNA, 440 nt
Filed under: uncultured bacterium
Lineage: Bacteria
Description: partial 16S ribosomal RNA
Rfam family: Bacterial small subunit ribosomal RNA
Source: RNAcentral